UGUUUUUUUUUUUUUUUUUUUUUUUUUUUUUUUUUUUUUUCUUCU
RNAcentral lists this non-coding RNA (45 nucleotides) under Prorocentrum micans. The record is from RNAcentral. Lineage: Eukaryota; Dinophyceae; Prorocentrales; Prorocentraceae.